AACAGUUUUAAAUACGAAAACAAGUAAUUUUUAAGCAAAAAAAAACCGACUUCAAUUCUCAUAUAAAAAUUUAGGAGUAUCUUUAAUUUCUCCAUGAUCCAAAUGAUCGGAUCGAAACCAAAUUAGU
Rhagoletis zephyria (snowberry fruit fly) is the source of this 127-nucleotide long non-coding RNA. RefSeq lists it as uncharacterized. Lineage: Eukaryota; Metazoa; Arthropoda; Insecta; Diptera; Tephritidae. The record is from RefSeq and is a predicted model, not a curated record.